Branchiostoma floridae (Florida lancelet) is the source of this 2574-nucleotide long non-coding RNA. RefSeq lists it as uncharacterized. The transcript has 3 exons. Lineage: Eukaryota; Metazoa; Chordata; Leptocardii; Amphioxiformes; Branchiostomatidae. The record is from RefSeq and is a predicted model, not a curated record.
GGUCACCAAAGCUGGAGGGCACGUCAAUGGGCAGGCAGAUGGACACAAAGAUGGGGUUUGGGAUCCAUCCUGCUGGCGACACCUGGAAGUGCCCUCGAACAUGUACGAUCUGCAAAAGUAAUGCAUCACUCCAGAGUCGCCCUGACUCAACAAGUCAACCUGAAGAGAAAGAGAGUAAGAAAAUUGGUUCAUCUAACUUCUUACAUGUGGUGAAAGGCGAAGCUUGAUGUUUUAGCCAAAAGAUGCAGACACGGGAAGUCGCGCUGGUCAUGGCGUCAUCAGCGGAUCAGUGGAGAGGAUUGUGUGUCUGUUCGCGGGCUGACCUGCCGGGUACUCGCUGCGCACCGGGCCCGUGACUCGGUCCUCAGGAGUUGAAGACCUACGAGUACCCAUGGAAAUGUGCCAACGGAAGUGCGCGCCCCUGACCGCACUAGAAGCAUCACCACCUGUGUAUCAUCGGCGCCGGCUUCUGGGCUCUACCAGCUAUAGAUCUAUCUACAGUAUACCAUACAAAUUAAAAUGCAGAAUCCCAGGUUAUGGGACAGUGGAAGAAAACAGAUGUUGCUCUUAUGAUCUGUGGGGCAAACGUGGGUUUUCAUCAGUGAGUAACGUAAAAAUAUUUGAUUUUCAUUGUACUUUGUAGACAUGCAUGGUAAUCUACUAAUAGGGCUGUUCCUGUCUGCAUUACAGCUCAGGCGAGCGUAUUUUAGGCUUGUAUUUACGCCAGGGACUAGAUUACAGGCAUUCAGUUUAGAAUCUUGGGUCUAAAUUUAACCAGGAAACGCAAAAAUAGACCUCUCCGCUUGGCCGAUUUGGUGGGAGGCAUUGUUCAUAUGCUCCACUGGCGAAGCCUGGCCUGCAGGGGCGGCACAUUGACGUCAUCAGACUCACCUGCCGCGCGGGAGGAUCACGUGACCGGGGGUUGCCUGCGGUCAGCAGCCUGGCCUCGCGCUGCUGUAUUGGCGCGGGAAACGUUGUUACCCGGCAUUGGGUGGGAGGACUGUAUAGCGUGGCUUUUGACCUGUUAUAAUUACCUUCGCUAGCUAUAAGGUUAUGUUUUCGGUAGCGUUUGUUUCUACGCGUUUGUGUAUGUGGUGUGUAGAUGGACAGCAUAACUCUCCGUUGUCUGGAUGAAUUGUAUUGAUAUUUGGUUGUCAGCUUGUAUAGAUGUAUAGUUUAUCACAGUGAAUGUUCACUGACGUUAUUGUGCCAGAUUAGAUACUGACAUAUCCGCUAUAACAGUAUGUCAGAUUGGUACUAGAGCAAUCGUGUUUCGUAAGAUUGUGUAUUUGAUGUGGUACAAGGUAACCAAUCAACAGGGUGUAUCUUUAUGAUAUAACGUUACCUUAUAUGGCUGUCCUAAUAAAGAAAGCACCCUCUGAUCGUGUUUUCAACAUGACAACUGACACUCCGUCUAACAAACAACUUAUGCGUUCAUUGACCCUUAAUUAGCUAUUUAUAGAGUCACACAAAUGUGAGGCCCAUAUCGAUAUAGCCACAAGUUCCACAUGAUAUACUCUGCAGUAUUGCACAAACAGAAUGGUCGGGGAGACUUCCAUCUCCGUAUAGAGAGUGGAAUUUAUUAUCAGCAAGCACAGUAGGUGGAUCAUCGCUGGAUAGUUUUAAAGACCACCUGCAGCUACUACUACUACUUGUAUGUCCAAAAUUUAGGUGUGGCAGGUCAUUUUUUGCUGUUGCUGCCAUGGCUUCUUGUUGGCGUGUCACGCUGAAGGCCAGUUAUACUCUGGGUUAUACCGGUAAUAUAGAUAACGUUACAGAUACAGGUCCCUCGCCCCUCUCGCCAGACACAUUCUGGAAGAUUUCAGACGUACCACUCCGUCCCCAUCCCACAAUGAUUUUAGCUUUAUCUGGUCUGACUAGACGUUCUGAUAAAAAAAUCUGUAUUUCUGAGAAUUCUCCUUCAGGAUAGAUAUUGCCCUGCUCGUUUGCUGGGAUUAUCACCCCCGUAGCUUUAGGUGAGGCCCUGGAUUUCGACCUGGACAGAAAAACCGGCAGGUCAGGGUCGAGGUAAGGGGUGCUGGAUUUGUUAAAUCAUUUAGAACAAACUUGUGAAAAGGAUAGAAACCGCAUGUGUAGUCGGGAGAUUUGCGAAAUACGUCAUCGGUACUUGGGUUUGACGCAUCUUGUGCUCAAAAUAGAGGCGGUGGCUCCUCUGAAAACCUACCUGACUGGUGGUAUGGACUGCACACCUGUAUGGUGACGUCUGUGCUGGCAUUCCGCCAUUGUCAAACAAGUCUUUGCCUCGGGGCGACACUAAUUUCGGCACCUUAAAGUUUCAUUUCAAGUGCCAACUAACGUCAUUAGGACCGUUUAUAAAACAUGUACACUAUUAAUAGAUGCUCAUAAUACUGCAUAGCUAAGAAUACGUACAUCAAGUUAUUGUCUAGAUUUGUACGUUAAACAUGACGUCUGAUGCGACACUUUGUUCGUCAGUGUAUGGCGUUAUACGAUCAUGCCUGCAGCGGACUCCCAUGUUUUGCAUGUACUCACCGGUCUUUUGCCCGUGUUUAACAUGUACCCGUCAGGCUAAUGAUAAAACACUUUUCUUAUGAA